RNAcentral lists this ribosomal RNA (430 nucleotides) under uncultured bacterium. Its description in RNAcentral is "bacterial SSU rRNA". It matches the Rfam family "Bacterial small subunit ribosomal RNA", at positions 340 to 786 of the family's 1533-position model. The record is from RNAcentral.
UACGGAAGGCAGCAGUGGGGAAUAUUGGACAAUGGGCGAAAGCCUGAUCCAGCAAUGCCGCGUGAGUGAUGAAGGCCUUAGGGUUGUAAAGCUCUUUUACCCGGGAUGAUAAUGACAGUACCGGGAGAAUAAGCUCCGGCUAACUCCGUGCCAGCAGCCGCGGUAAUACGGAGGGAGCUAGCGUUGUUCGGAAUUACUGGGCGUAAAGCGCACGUAGGCGGCUUUGUAAGUUAGAGGUGAAAGCCCGGGGCUCACCCCGGAACUGCCUUUGAUACUGCAUGGCUUGAAUCCAGGAGAGGUGAGUGGAAUUCCGAGUGUAGAGGUGAAAUUCGUAGAUAUUCGGAAGACACCAGUGGCGAAGGCGGCUCACUGGACUGGUAUUGACGCUGAGGGUGCGAAAGCGUGGGGAGCGAAACAGGGAUUAGAUACC